GCCGACUCUAGCUCAGUUGGCUAGAGCGAUUGACUUAUAAUCAGUGGGGUCAGCCGUUUGCUUCCGGUAGUCGGCACCA
This 79-nucleotide transfer RNA is filed under the name Citrobacter enshiensis. RNAcentral's name for it is "Citrobacter sp. S171 tRNA-Ile". Lineage: Bacteria; Pseudomonadati; Pseudomonadota; Gammaproteobacteria; Enterobacterales; Enterobacteriaceae. The record is from RNAcentral.